This 5247-nucleotide long non-coding RNA is filed under the name Sus scrofa (pig). RNAcentral describes it as "lncRNA (ENSSSCG00000059122.1)". Lineage: Eukaryota; Metazoa; Chordata; Mammalia; Artiodactyla; Suidae. The record is from RNAcentral.
GAACUUUGCUGUCACCUGCAAUUCAACAUUGGUCCACUUCUCUGGAGAACCCAGCCCUGCCCAUCCACUAGUGUUCAGCAUCUCACCAUUCUGCCUGGCACCUAAGUGUUUGCUAUAGCUCUGCACCUGGCCCAGAGGGGGAUUAGAUGAAGGGAGAACAUAGGGAGUUCCCAUUGUGGUGCAGUGGAAAUGAAUCUGACUAGGAACCAUGAGGUUUAGGGUUCAAUCCCUGGCCUCAAUCAGUGGGUUAAGGACCCAGUGUUGCCAUGAGCUGUGGCAUAGGCCAGCAGCUGCAGCUCCGAUUUGACCUGUAGCCUGGGAAACCCCAUAUACCUCGGGUGUGGCCCUAAAAAAGCAAAAAAAGAUUAAAUUAAAUUAAAUUAAAAACAAACAAACAAAAAAAGAAAGGUCCCAAAUGAGAGAAUAAAUGAAGUCUGGUCUAGGGAAACACAAGAACUAGGUUCUCACCCUGGUUCUACUGCUUAAUCUACAAUAUCUUGGGUACAAUCUCAUACUGACUUUUUCUUAAACUCACUUUUCUCACCCAUAAAAUGGAAACACUUAUACUUUUCAACAUGUUUCACAAAAUGGUUUGUAAUAAAAUGAUAACAUAAAGGCAACUUCAGAAAGGUUUACAAAUAACCUAAAAGUCUUUAGCAAUUGUCAAAGAAAACAACUUGGUUUUUUUUAAAUGUAUAUAAGUAUAAGCAUAUAUAUUCAUAGACCACCCAUCCCCUGCCCCUGGUAUUUCCCCAGACAAGAUGAGAAUGCUACUCUCAUUUCGCAGAUGGGAAAACUGAACCUAGCAUAGAUUAAUGCUUUAUGUGGCUUAAAUAGCUGGUAUGUUUCAGAGAGACUGGGCCAGAACACAGAUCAGUGUUCCUUCAGUAAAGAUAUUGGGCUACUAAUCAGGUUCUUCGAAGACAUUUAAUACAAAAUAAUCACAUUAUAAGACAGCCUGGCAUGACAGGAAGCUGCACAGCAUAUAUCUUAAGGAUACCUUUAAAGUCAUGUCCCAGAACUUAAAAUUGGGAAAUAGUGAAACUACUCACUAGUUGUCCUUUCUUUUUUUGCCCUAACAUUUCUCUGCUUGUUCAAGUUUUGGCCAUUCUGUCUGUGGCAUGGAUCUACAGAACAGCAAGUGCCAUAACCUUUAGUUCAUGCAUGACUGUCUCCUGUGUCAUUCUGUGGGAUUCAGCCAGGCCUGGCAACACUCACCAGUGGAUGGAAGGAAAGGAGGCAGCAGGGCUUGGACGUAUCUCUGUCCCAAAGGGUCAAACACGAGGGAGGGAGAGGGACCCGGCAGCUGCAGCCACAGUGAAUUCCGGCUUUGUGCAACUGGAGAAGGCUGAGCAGGCAGUUGGGAAGGAAGAGGAACUCAGCAAGCAUGUGAAGCACAGGAGUGGGGCAUUCAAGGUGGAACACCGUGAGCAGUCUGGGACCCCCAGCCAGGAGCCUGUCAGCACUGGGGAUAUUUAUGAUUCUGAUCCCAGGGCUAUGGACUGGAAAGGCCAAAGGAGGCUCCUGAUCUAAGAGGAGGUGGGGACACAGCCAGGUUACUGAGAACAGAUUCAAAUGCAGAAGCCCAGACUCAAGAAGUGGGGCCUGUGAAAGAUGGAGAACACAGGAACAAAUUAGGCACUGCUUAAGGACCUCUAGGUAGGUUGUCUAUAGCUGAGCUGGAGUAAAAAGGCUGCUCUCUGGGGAGAGAAAAAGGAAGACACCAGGCUCCGACUAGAUGAAAGAGGCAGGGGAUGUCAACUGCAGUAGGCAGUGGGAUCACUGACUGCCUCUGCUGCCCCACAGUGAGCAUGGUACCACACACGUCAGAGGCUCUGGGCUGCAGAACAUUCCCUUCCCAUGUGCUGCUCCUGGAGUAGCCCCACGUGUCAUACCACAGAGCUAUUACACAUAAAGGAAAAGGUGGGAAACUCUCUGGUUGAGAUUUUGUUAGUUUGUCUUGGUUCUUAGGGCCAUACAUGUGGCAUGUGGAGGGUCCCAGUCUAUGGGUUGAAUCAGAGCCGCAGCUACCAGCCUACACCACAGCUCAUGGCAACACUCGAUCCUUAAUCUACUGAGAAAGGCCAGGGAUUGAACCCACAUCCUUAUGGAAAACUAGUUGGGUUCGUUACCACUGAGCCACAGUAGGAACUCAUUCUUCUCUUUUUAGGGCCAUACCUGCAGCAUAUGGAAGUUCUAAGCCUAGGGGUCAAGUCAGAGCUGUAGCCACUGGUCUACACCACAGCCACAUCAAUGUCAGAUCUGAGCUGCAUCUGCAACCUAUGCCACAGCUCGUGGAAAUGCUGGAUCCUUAACCAACCCACUAAGCGAGGCCAGGGAUUGAACCUGCAUUCUCGUAGAUACUAGUCAGGUUCUUAACCUAACGAGCCACAAAGGGAACUGGCUUGACAUUUUCAAAAUUCACAAUAUUCUCUGCAAUUGAUUGUUGGCGGACUUCAGUGCUCCCUGGUGCCACCUUGCGCCUGCCACUAGUGCGCUUUCUAGGCAGCCAGCUUUGAUUAAAGCCCAUCGGAGGUGUUUAAAUGUGAGAGAGAAUUAGACAAUAAGAACAGGGGAGGGAAAAGGACCAGUUCUAAUGGAAGUCAGAGUUGGAAGCACAGUGAAAAGGAAAUGGUAGAGAGAAUGCAGAAUGCAGGUUACUCUCCAAAGCACUCUGUGCUAGGAUUGAGUUAUCCUUGCAUAUAAAUCUUCUUGAUGCUGAUCUACAAAAGAACGAAUAAAUGAAUGAAUAGACAAAUGAACAAAUCAGUGAGUGAAUCAAAGAAUCAAUGGGUCGAUAGACAUUUGAUUGAUGAGGAUAGGAAAAUGGCAGUGUACGACUAACGUUACACAGAUAGGUGUAUGAGUGUGUGUGUGUGUGUGUGUGUGUGUGUGUGUGUGUGUGUGUGUGUUAACAAAGUAAUGGGGAAUAACAAACUGCAAAUUGCCUCAGAAACCCUCACCCCUCAAAUGGCAUCAGAUAUGCAUGGCAGCUGCAUCCUCAUAGCCGACAGCUGUCAUGUUCAAGUCUUUCCUUCCCCCAUGGGAUGCAGAGAGAAGAGGGGCCCAAGUUAAAAGACACUCCACUCAACUAGUCCCUUCUCUGACAAGUCCCUUAUGUUUACUCCCUGACACUACAAAAGAAACAGAAUCACAGAGUUUACAACUAAUGCUUUAAUGCAAAUGAAAUCCUGUGCCUUUGAAAUACCAGCUAUCCAGCACUGGCUAAAAUAUUACUUUACACAUGCACUGUACAGUGGAGUGGUGAAACUGUGGCUGUGGAGAGUGGGAUGACCUCCAGCCAACAUAUAGGAGAAUAAUGAUCUUUUCAGAAUGAACAUCAAGUCCUCAACGGAUAAAGGGAGUGAGUGCCAGGUUCACCUAGGGAACUUUGUCAAACUUCACAUGCCCCAGAUGUUCUAACCCUGAUUCUGUUAUUUCCUGCUUGAGACAUAAGCUAUAAGAGGACAAGGAAUUAGAUCUGAAGUUGUUUGAACCCAAAAGAAGGCCUAUUACGCCCUGUGGGCUCAAUACAUAUUUCUUUUUUUUUUUUUUAAUGGCCUCACCUCCAGCAGAUGGAAGUUCCUAGACCAGGGCCUGAAUCCAAGCCAUUGCUGUGACCUCUGCUAUAGCUGCAGCAAUGCCAGAUACCUUAACCCACUGUUCCAGGCUGGGGAUCAAACCCCCACCUCUGCUGUGACCCCAGCUGUUGCAGUCAGAUUCUUAACCCACUGUGAUAUGGCAGGAACUCAAUACAUAUUUCUUGAAUAAAUGGAUAAAUAAGUGAAUUUAGAUGUUUUUGUAAUAUAAUUUGGAAUUUGAAGGGACCUUUGAGCUCAACCAGUAAUCUGUUAUUUAAUGGUAGGAAUUCAGUCCAGAGUCACUUGUCCAAUAUCACACAUCUAACUAAUGGCUCAGCAUGGCAACUGAAAUAGCAGAAUUCAGAGUGGUUAGUAAAAAUGUAAAUUUAGUAGUAAACAUAAUUGUUUUCUACAAAGGGCAAAGCACCAGUUCUGGGAAAUUGGUCAGAUGGUCUGAUGAAGAGAGAGAAAAGACAUGCUAGGACUACAUGUCAAAUGUGGGGGGUACGGGCCAUGGGUAUGUCCUGUCUUUAGGUUCUGUCCUCUCCAUCCUGAAAAGCCCUACUGCCAACCAAGCCUACAAAGCAGAGCAGAUGGACACAGUUUAUUGGGAAGUAUCUCCUGCAGCAGGAGAAAAGGAACCAGUGUCAAAUGCCAAUUCAGUGCUUCAAAGAAGAUUCUGAGAGAGCUGUUCAUUAAUCAGGAAUGAUUUAGAUGAGCUUCCAUUUCAAGACAUACAAUCUCUAUUAGGAUAAGAUUCACCAUCACUAAAACAUCUUUUCCCAAAGUAAUAGCAACGUGUUAUGAACAUGGCUACCAACUUUCAGGGGAAAGCUACUUAUUUCUACUGUCAAGAGCCAAGAAAACAUUCAGCAGAUUUUUACUGGGCAAAUGCCAGCAUAAAAACCACAGCCACUGCUUUCAGGUUAAGUUCUUUUUAAUACUUCACACUCCAGGGACCUAAAACAUAAAUACGUUUGGCUUUGAGUUGCUAGAAAGCAGGUUGUUAUUUUAAACAAACAUACCACCAAAAGUGACACUUUCCACGUGGCCACUAAGACACCAACUAGAGAGGAUACUAAUGAGGUACAAUCACCUUCUUAGACUGUGCUCUGGUGCUUAAGGAGCUCUCAGGAACCACUGCUGUGGAGGGAGUGCAAAUUUGCCAAGCCAAUGGCCUAGUCCUUCUGUUACCCUUUUGAUAGUAAGGGUCCCUUAUGAAACUGGGCUCUGUGAAGCACUUACAUCAUGUUUUAGGAUGCUACUCAUCCACCCAAAUGAUUUAAACUGAAAUCAAUUGUUGCCAUAUGAAAUAUUUUAAAAAUAUGACUGUAAUUCUGAUCAAAAAAAAAAAAGUUUAGGGAGGCAUGUUCUUGGUCAUUUUAUUUCCAAAAAUAUCACUUGCAUGUGGCAACAAGUGAGCACACAGUCUGUGUUAUCUGUGCCUACAACCACUUGCACUGUUCUUCAUCUUUGAAGCCAGCUGUUGAAGGGCAUUCAUCCCAAGGUCACUCGACCUCCAAAGAGGAUCGUUUGACAAUGGUACACAAAGUCAUUUGCAGAUGGAAGAUAAGGGUCUUUGCAACUGUGUGUGGCCUGCAUGGUUACACAAUGUCAGUGAGACGAGAGAGGUGUUACCAGAAGAGCAAGGACUUCUUUAUUUCUG